UACGUAGGGUGCAAGCGUUGUCCGGAAUUAUUGGGCGUAAAGAGCUCGUAGGCGGUUCGUCGCGUCGGCUGUGAAAACCUGAGGCUCAACCUCAGGCCUGCAGUCGAUACGGGCGGACUUGAGUACUGGAGGGGAGACUGGAAUUCCUGGUGUAGCGGUGAAAUGCGCAGAUAUCAGGAGGAACACCGGUGGCGAAGGCGGGUCUCUGGGCAGUAACUGACGCUGAGGAGCGAAAGCGUGGGGAGCGAACAGG
Molecule: ribosomal RNA, 253 nt
Filed under: uncultured bacterium
Lineage: Bacteria
Description: partial 16S ribosomal RNA
Rfam family: Bacterial small subunit ribosomal RNA
Source: RNAcentral